RNAcentral lists this ribosomal RNA (481 nucleotides) under uncultured bacterium. RNAcentral describes it as "partial 16S ribosomal RNA". It matches the Rfam family "Bacterial small subunit ribosomal RNA", at positions 28 to 507 of the family's 1533-position model. The record is from RNAcentral.
GAUGAACGCUGGCGGCGUGCUUAACACAUGCAAGUCGAACGAAGCACUUUAUUUGAUUUCCUUCGGGACUGUUUAUUUUGUGACUGAGUGGCGGACGGGUGAGUAACUCGUGGGUAACCUGCCUUGUACAGGGGGAUAACAGUUGGAAACGGCUGCUAAUACCGCAUAAGCGCACAGCAUCGCAUGAUGCAGUGUGAAAAACUCCGGUGGUAUAAGAUGGCCCCGCGUUGGUUUAGCGAGUUGGUGAGGUAACGGCCCACCAAGGCGACGAACCAUAGCUGACCGGGGAGGGUGACCGGCCACAUUGGGACUGAGACACGGCCCAAACUCCGACGGGAGGCAGCAGUGGGGAAUAUUGCACAAUGGGCGAAAGCCUGAUGCAGCGACGCCGCGUGAGAGAAGAAGUAUGUCGGUAUGUAAAGCUCUAUCAGCAGAGAAGAUAAUGACGGUACCUGACUAAGAAGCACCGGCUAAAUACGUG